AAAGUCGUAACAAGGUUUCCGUAGGUGAACCUGCGGAAGGAUCAUUAAUGUAACCGGACCUUACGGGUGCCGUAAGACGCAUUCGUUUGGAAAGGGAGAUAUCAUACACCCUGUGUUUAUUUACCUUUGUUGCUUUGGCGGGCCGUCCUUUUAGGCGUCGGCCCCCGGCUGAUCGCGCCCGCCAGAGGACCCAAACUCUUUUAUCAGUGAUGUCUGAGUACUAUAUAAUAGUUAAAAC
Molecule: unclassified non-coding RNA, 238 nt
Filed under: plant metagenome
Description: partial contains small subunit ribosomal RNA and internal transcribed spacer 1
Rfam family: Eukaryotic small subunit ribosomal RNA (bases 1-47)
Source: RNAcentral